UACGUAGGGUCCGAGCGUUGUCCGGAAUCAUUGGGCGUAAAGAGCGUGUAGGCGGCUUGGUAGGUCACGUGUUAAAGCCUGCGGCUCAACCGCAGAAUCGCACGUGAAACCACCUGGCUAGAGUCCGGAAGAGGAGAGCGGAAUUCCCAGUGUAGCGGUGAAAUGCGUAGAUAUUGGGAGGAACACCAGUGGCGAAGGCGGCUCACUGGACCGGUACUGACGCUGAUGCGCGAAAGCGUGGGGAGCAAACGGG
This 253-nucleotide ribosomal RNA is filed under the name uncultured bacterium. Its description in RNAcentral is "partial 16S ribosomal RNA". It matches the Rfam family "Bacterial small subunit ribosomal RNA", at positions 524 to 776 of the family's 1533-position model. The record is from RNAcentral.